CUUGAACGCUGGCGGCAGUCCUAACACAUGCACGUCGAACGAGUGGCAGACGGGUGAGUAAUGUCUGGGAAACUGCCUGAUGGAGGGGGAUAACUACUGGCAACGGUAGCUAAUAACGCAUACCAUCAGAUGUGCCCCGAUGGGAUUAGCUUGUUGGUGGGGUAACGGUUCACCAAGGCGACGAUCCCUAGAUGGUCGGAGAGGAUGACCACCCACACUGUAACUGAGACACGGGCCAGACUCCUACGGGAGGAAGCAGUGGGUAAUAUUGCACAAUGGGCGCAAGCCUGAUGCAGCCAUGCCGCGGGUAUGAAGAAGGCCUUCGGGUUUUAAAGUACUUGCAGCGGGGAGGCGUUACCCGCAGAAGAAGCACCGGCUAACUCCGGGCCAGCAGCCGCGGUAAGUC
Molecule: ribosomal RNA, 406 nt
Filed under: uncultured bacterium
Lineage: Bacteria
Description: partial 16S ribosomal RNA
Rfam family: Bacterial small subunit ribosomal RNA
Source: RNAcentral